GUACCUGUUUUGGCAGCACAUGUACUAAAAUUGGAACAAUUCAGAGAAGGUUACCAUGGCUGCAAUGUAGGGAUGACAUGGAAAUUCAUGGAGUAUUCCACAGCUUU
Molecule: small nuclear RNA, 107 nt
Organism: Onychomys torridus (southern grasshopper mouse)
Lineage: Eukaryota; Metazoa; Chordata; Mammalia; Rodentia; Cricetidae
Source: RefSeq, a predicted model, not a curated record